Rattus norvegicus (Norway rat) is the source of this 387-nucleotide non-coding RNA. Lineage: Eukaryota; Metazoa; Chordata; Mammalia; Rodentia; Muridae. The record is from RefSeq and is a predicted model, not a curated record.
GCGGAUUGGCUCCCUCCGGGCGCAGGGACCCCAGCGGAGGCGAUCUGCGAAGUUCGCACGUGGUAUGGAAAGUUCUUGUUGGCCGCCGAUGGGCGGGUCAUGAUCUGAAAGAAGUCAGACACAGGUGAGAAGGCCAAGGGCUGGUCUGGGACUGCACCGUUUGGAAGCUUCGGAGCUGGGCUCUACACCCCGGCAGUCUGGCUCGGAAUCUGCCCCCUUUACAUGAACACGGUCGGUCAGUCGGUCGGUUUGGAGUUUUAUUUGAAGAAUUCCUUUUAUGACUGCAUGUGUAUGCCUCCACCUUCCAAGGCCUGACAUUAUAGACAUUCACUAGCAUGCCUGGCUAUUAACCGAGAUGUUAUUAAACAUUUAUUGUGUGACAUUAAA